UACGUAGGUGGCGAGCGUUAUCCGGAUUUAUUGGGUUUAAAGGGCGCGUAGGCGGCUAAUUAAGUCAGUGGUUAAAGGUAGCAGCUUAACUGUUUUACAUGCCAUUGAUACUGGUUAGCUUGAGUUGACGGAAGGCAGAUAGAAUUUCUGGUGUAGCGGUGAAAUGCUUAGAUACCAGAAGGAAUACCGAUUGCGAAGGCAGUCUGCUGCAGUCACACUGACGCUGAGGCUCGAAGGUGCGGGGAUCAAACAGG
Molecule: ribosomal RNA, 254 nt
Filed under: uncultured bacterium
Lineage: Bacteria
Description: partial 16S ribosomal RNA
Rfam family: Bacterial small subunit ribosomal RNA
Source: RNAcentral